RNAcentral lists this long non-coding RNA (386 nucleotides) under Elaeis guineensis (African oil palm). RNAcentral describes it as "long non-coding RNA (EGUI_LNC055924)". The record is from RNAcentral. Lineage: Eukaryota; Viridiplantae; Streptophyta; Magnoliopsida; Arecales; Arecaceae.
UCAAAAUUCAUCGAUAUGUAACCCUGAUCGAACAGUCCCAACCAGUGGGACUCUUGACCCCGGUACCCAUAAUGUGUGGAACUCGUGAUCAGAGAAUCUUGAUUCUCGAUCACUGAGUCUCAAACAUGUAGGAUUCUACAUCAGCCAUCAGAUCAGAUAGGAACCUCUAAUGUGUGUGACCCCGCAGGUUCGAACCUAAGUCGGUAGCACAGGAACCAAUUCCUGUACUAAUCGAAGUGACCAUCUAGCAAUGGUACCCGAUGUCCAGAUAGAUCGAAGAGUCACAAUCGCAACACUCAGAACCUACAUGAAUAUGGUUACUGUAUAAUUCAUCAUUUUGACCCCUGUGUUUAGGAUGACUCAGGGUUAAACUGUCAACCCUGAUC